RNAcentral lists this ribosomal RNA (718 nucleotides) under Cedrela fissilis. RNAcentral's name for it is "eukaryotic LSU rRNA". The stretch from base 273 to 428 matches the Rfam family "5.8S ribosomal RNA". Lineage: Eukaryota; Viridiplantae; Streptophyta; Magnoliopsida; Sapindales; Meliaceae. The record is from RNAcentral.
GAACCUGCGGAAGGAUCAUUGUCGAAACCUGCCCGGCAGAACGACCCGCGAACCGGUGAACGCACGCGCGGGGAAAGGCGUCCGGCGCGCGAGCGCCCCUCGCCGGCCCCCGCUCGCCGCGGGGGGCGAGCAUCGUCUCGCCCGCCGCGGCGAAACAACGAACCCCGGCGCGAGCCGCGCCAAGGAAAAUCAAACGAGAGAGCGCGCUCCCGCCGCCCCGGACACGGCGCGCGAGCGGGACGCGUCGCCUUCUUUCGACGAAAACCUAAAACGACUCUCGGCAACGGAUAUCUCGGCUCUCGCAUCGAUGAAGAACGUAGCGAAAUGCGAUACUUGGUGUGAAUUGCAGAAUCCCGUGAACCAUCGAGUCUUUGAACGCAAGUUGCGCCCCAAGCCGUCAGGCCGAGGGCACGUCUGCCUGGGUGUCACGCAUCGCUGCCCCUCCCCCAGCCCCCCUCGCGGGGCGCUGUCGGGCGGGCGGAGACUGGCCUCCCGCGCGCUCCCCGCUCGCGGUUGGCCCAAAUUCGAGUCUUCGGCGGCCGCGCCGCGACGAUCGGUGGCGAGAAAGAAAAAAAACUCUCGAUCUCUCGUCGCGCGCUCGCGCCUCCGUGUCCACGGCUCGCGGACCCUUUGCGCGCCCCGUACGCGGGCGCUCGCUUCGCGACCCCAGGUCAGGCGGGACCACCCGCUGAGUUUAAGCAUAUCAAUAAGCGGAGGA